GGUGAUGAAUAUAUGAUUUGUGUAUGUAAAAUAGACUUUGGCAUACUAUAUUUGGUUUGAUAGAUGAUGUGUGUAUGUGUAGAUAAUCCUAUUGUUGGCAUACUAUUGUUGGCAAAAAAAUUUAUGCAAAAGAGAUGAUGAAAUUUUCUUAUUGUGUGUGACAUGAUUUGUUCAAUAGAAUGGCGGAUGAUGAUAAUGAAAUAUAUUUGAUGGUGAAAUUUGGUACUCUAGAUGAUAUGUGUGCAUAUGUAGAAGAAAGAAAUGAUGUGGUUAUGUUUGAGAAGAAUGGUGUUUUCAUAUGGAAUAAACUUGGAGAAGGAAAUUGUUUGAUAUUGUUCAUGUAUUCAUAGAUGUUUGUGAAAUUUUUUUGUAGGAUGGCGGAUGGUGAUGGACCUUGGUAUGACGGAUUAAUCGAUGAGUGGGAUAAGGAGCAUCGUGCUCGUGCCAUUGAAAAUGGACAAGUUGUAGUUGCUAUGCGCAUGAGGGGUCAUUCCGCUGAUGACUUUGAUUACGACCCGCGGUAUGAGCCUUACAUUCGGAGAUUGGGUCUUCUCCCAUUCGUGUUGCAGUUUAAGCGACGCGCUCCGCCGGUGAACCACGCGGCGCUGACCGCACUUGUGGAUCGUUGGAGGCCGGAGACUCACUCCUUCCACCUUCCAUGUGGGGAGAUGACGAUGACCCUACAGGACAUGGCUAUGAUAAGCGGCCUUCCUAUCAAUGGACAAGCUGUUACCGGUCAUGUCAGCGUGGGUAACUGGCGAGAACAGACUGCCGAUUUAAUUGGCGUUCAGCCCGAGGGCCCUCAGGAAGGCAAGGCCGAUACAGCGAAAGUGAGGCAUUCUUGGCUAAAACUGGUCAGAGGAAACACCAACCCGUGCCCUCAGGAUGCCAAUGACGUGGUUGUGUAGCAGUACGCGCGGGCCUAUCUUUGGUAUGUACUAACCAAGGUAGUCUUCUCAGAUGCAACCGGGAACUCAGCCCUCUGGAUAUUCUUGGAGCCACUUAAUAACUGGGAUACCCAGUAUAGCUGGGGUUCGGCCGCACUAGCAUACUUGUAUCGUCAGCUUGACUUGGCGUGUCGGAGGAAGGGAGGUACAUCCUCAUUGUCU
This is a long non-coding RNA of Triticum dicoccoides, 1109 nucleotides long. RefSeq lists it as uncharacterized. The record is from RefSeq and is a predicted model, not a curated record. Lineage: Eukaryota; Viridiplantae; Streptophyta; Magnoliopsida; Poales; Poaceae. The transcript has 3 exons.